RNAcentral lists this ribosomal RNA (1238 nucleotides) under Levilactobacillus brevis. Its description in RNAcentral is "bacterial SSU rRNA". It matches the Rfam family "Bacterial small subunit ribosomal RNA", at positions 150 to 1370 of the family's 1533-position model. The record is from RNAcentral. Lineage: Bacteria; Bacillati; Bacillota; Bacilli; Lactobacillales; Lactobacillaceae.
UUGGAAACAGGUGCUAAUACCGUAUAACAACAAAAUCCGCAUGGAUUUUGUUUGAAAGGUGCCUUCGGCUAUCACUUCGGGAUGAUCCCGCGGCGUAUUAGUUAGUUGGGGAGGUAAAGGCCCACCAAGACGAUGAUACGUAGCCGACCUGAGAGGGUAAUCGGCCACAUUGGGACUGAGACACGGCCCAAACUCCUACGGGAGGCAGCAGUAGGGAAUCUUCCACAAUGGACGAAAGUCUGAUGGAGCAAUGCCGCGUGAGUGAAGAAGGGUUUCGGCUCGUAAAACUCUGUUGUUAAAGUAAGAACACCUUUGAGAGUAACUGUUCAAGGGUUGACGGUAUUUAACCAGAAAGCCACGGCUAACUACGUGCCAGCAGCCGCGGUAAUACGUAGGUGGCAAGCGUUGUCCGGAUUUAUUGGGCGUAAAGCGAGCGCCAGCGCGGUUUUUUAAGUCUGAUGUGAAAGCCUUCGGCUUAACGCGGAGAAGUGCAUCGGAAACUGGGAGCCUUGAGUGCAGAAGAGGACAGUGGAACUCCAUGUGUAGCGGUGGAAUGCGUAGAUAUAUGGAAGAACACCAGUGGCGAAGGCGGCUGUCUAGUCUGUAACUGACGCUGAGGCUCGAAAGCAUGGGUAGCGAACAGGAUUAGAUACCCUGGUAGUCCAUGCCGUAAACGAUGAGUGCUAAGUGUUGGAGGGUUUCCGCCCUUCAGUGCUGCAGCUAACGCAUUAAGCACUCCGCCUGGGGAGUACGACCGCAAGGUUGAAACUCAAAGGAAUUGACGGGGGCCCGCACAAGCGGUGGAGCAUGUGGUUUAAUUCGAAGCUACGCGAAGAACCUUAGCCAGGUCUUGACAUCUUCUGCCAAUCUUAGAGAUAAGACGUUCCCUUCGGGGACAGAAUGACAGGUGGUGCAUGGUUGUCGUCAGCUCGUGUCGUGAGAUGUUGGGUUAAGUCCCGCAACGAGCGCAACCCUUAUUAUCAGUUGCCAGCAUUCAGUUGGGCACUCUGGUGAGACUGCCGGUGACAAACCGGAGGAAGGUGGGGAUGACGUCAAAUCAUCAUGCCCCUUAUGACCUGGGCUACACACGUGCUACAAUGGACGGUACAACGAGUUGCGAAGUCGUGAGGCUAAGCUAAUCUCUUAAAGCCGUUCUCAGUUCGGAUUGUAGGCUGCAACUCGCCUACAUGAAGUUGGAAUCGCUAGUAAUCGCGGAUCAGCAUGCCGCGGUGAAUACG